This 2971-nucleotide ribosomal RNA is filed under the name human gut metagenome. Its description in RNAcentral is "bacterial LSU rRNA". It matches the Rfam family "Bacterial large subunit ribosomal RNA". The record is from RNAcentral.
GCAAGAUACCACGGGCGCACGGCGGAUGCCUUGGCACAGGGAGCCGAUGAAGGACGCGGCAAGCUGCGAUAAUCCCCGGCGAGGAGCACACAUCCUUCGACCCGGGGGUCUCCGAAUGGGCGAACCCAUCCACAGAGGUGUGGAUAUCCCGGCCCCGAACACAUAGGGGCCGGGAGGACAACCCGGGGAACUGAAACAUCUAAGUACCCGGAGGAGAGGAAAUCAAUCUCGAGACUCCCCGAGUAGCGGCGAGCGAAAGGGGACCGAUGGCCAAACCGUCGAGCGGGCAUACCCGGCAGGGGUUCCGCCGACGGGGUUGCAGGGCCGCGCAUCCGGGGGCUGCCGCCCCCGGGCGCAGGUCCGGCUGGGGAGCGGAACGGCAUGGGAGGGCCGGCCGCAGCGGGUGACAGCCCCGUACGCGAACCCAGACCGGACGGCGCGACGCGGUCCCUGAGUAGGGCCGGGCACGUGAAACCCGGUCCGAACCUGGGUGGACCACCAUCCAAGCCUGAGUACUACCCUGUGACCGAUAGCGCACCAGUACCGUGAGGGAAAGGUGAAAAGCACCCCGGGAGGGGAGUGAAACAGUACCUGAAACCGUGCGCCCACGAGCAGUCGGAGCACCCUUGUGGUGUGACGGCGUGCCUUUUGUAGAAUGAGCCAGCGAGUCGCUGGCGCGGGGCGAGGUUAACCGAAAGGGAGCCGGAGCGAAAGCGAGCCUUAACAGGGCGACUUGAGUCCCGCGCCGCGGACGCGAAGCCGGGUGAGCUAUCCGUGGGCAGGCUGAAGCGGGGGUAAGACCCCGUGGAGGGCCGAACGCACGUCGGUUGAAAACGGCGGCGAUGACCUGCGGAUAGGGGUGAAAGGCCAAUCAAACCCGGAGAUAUCUCGUUCUCCCCGAAAUAGCUUUAGGGCUAGCGUCGCGCGUUCACCGCCGGAGGUAGAGCACCGGAUGGACGAGGGGGCUUCGCCGCCUACCGAAUCCAACCGAACUCCGAAUGCCGGCGGCCCAGAGCGCGGCAGUCAGAGCAUGUGGGCUAAGCUGUGUGCUCGAGAGGGAAACAGCCCGGACCGCCCGCUAAGGUCCCCAAGUUCCAGCCGAGUGGCAAAGGAUGUGCGUCCGCCCAGACAACCAGGAUGUUGGCUUAGAAGCAGCCAUCCAUUCAAAGAGUGCGUAACAGCUCACUGGUCGAGUGGACAUGCGCCGACAAUACACGGGGCUAAGCUGGACACCGAAGCGGCGGGAUUUUGAUUUUCAGAAUCGGUAGGGGAGCUUCCCAUGGGCGGCGAAGCCGCCGGGCGACCGGCGGUGGAGCGCAUGGGAGUGAGAAUGCUGGCAUGAGUAGCGAGAGACGAGAGAGUAACUCGUCCGCCGUGAACCCGAGGUUUCCUGGGCAAGGCUAAUCCUCCCAGGGUCAGUCGGGGGCUAAGGCGAGGCCGGGAGGCGUAGCCGACGCGCAGCAGGCAGACAUUCCUGCACCGCGCACGCGGCGCUACGACCGACGGGGCGACGGAUGGGGGUGGCUCGGCGGGGUUCUGGACGUCCCCGUGAUGGAGCGCGGCCCGCGGACCAGGGAAAUCCGGUCCGCACGAGGGCGAGGCUCCGGACGAAGCGAUCAAGCGAAGCGAGUGAGCCCGAGGUCCCUAGAAAAACCCCUAGGCAGGCGCGUGCGCGCCCGUACCGCAAACCGACACAGGUGGGUGGGUAGAACAUACCGAGGCGAUCGGGUCAACCAUGGUCAAGGAACUCGGCACAAUGGCCCCGUAACUUCGGGAGAAGGGGUGCCCGCGCGUACGUGAACCGGCUUGCCCGGGGAGCGGAGGCGGGCCGCAGUGGAGAGGCCCAAGCGACUGUUUACCAAAAACACAGGACUCUGCAGAAGCCGCAAGGCGACGUAUAGGGUCUGACGCCUGCCCGGUGCCGGAAGGUCACGCGGAGGAGUUAGCCGCAAGGCGAAGCCCCGAAGCCAAGCCCCGGUAAACGGCGGCCGUAACUAUAACGGUCCUAAGGUAGCGAAAUUCCUUGUCGGGUAAGUUCCGACCUGCACGAAAGGCGCAACGACUUGGGCGCUGUCUCGACCAUGGACCCGGUGAAAUUGCACUGGUCGUGAAGAUGCGACUUACCCGCGGAAGGACGGAAAGACCCCGUGAACCUUCACUGCAGCUUGGCAUUGGCCGCUGGUCCCGCGUGUAGAGGAUAGGCAGGAGGCACAGAUCCGGAGGCGCCAGCCCCCGGGGAGCCGCCCUUGGAAUACUGCCCUCGCGCGACCGGCGUCCUAACCCGAGGCCGUCAACCGGCUCGGGGACCGUGCCAGGCGGGCAGUUUGACUGGGGCGGUCGCCUCCUAAAGGGUAACGGAGGCGCGCGAAGGUCCGCUCGGGACGGUCGGCAACCGUCCUUUUGAAUGCAAGAGUACAAGCGGGCUUGACUGCGAGGCCCACAAGCCGAGCAGGUGCGAAAGCAGGCUCUAGUGAUCCGGCGGCCCCGAGUGGGUGGGCCGUCGCUCAACGGAUAAAAGGUACUCCGGGGAUAACAGGCUGAUCUUGCCCAAGAGUCCACAUCGACGGCAAGGUUUGGCACCUCGAUGUCGGCUCAUCGCAUCCUGGGGCUGGAGCAGGUCCCAAGGGUACGGCUGUUCGCCGUUUAAAGCGGUACGCGAGCUGGGUUCAGAACGUCGUGAGACAGUUCGGUCCCUAUCCUCCGUGGGCGCAGGAGAAUCGAUGGAGGCUGCCCCCAGUACGAGAGGACCGGGGUGGACGCACCUCCGGUGAACCGGUUGUCGACCAACGGCACGGCCGGGUAGCCGCGUGCGGCGCGGAUAACCGCUGAAGGCAUCUAAGCGGGAAGCCGUUCCAGGGAUUAGUUCUCCUUCCGGUAAGGGCCCAGGUAGACUACCUGGUCGAUAGACGGCAGGUGCAAGGACGGCGACGUCCUCAGCCGAGCCGCACUAAUCGCCCGAGCUCUUCCGGAA